Molecule: long non-coding RNA, 143 nt
Organism: Alosa sapidissima (American shad)
Lineage: Eukaryota; Metazoa; Chordata; Actinopteri; Clupeiformes; Clupeidae
Exons: 2
Source: RefSeq, a predicted model, not a curated record
GUGUGUGUGUGUGUGUGUGUGUGUGUGUGUGUGUGUGUGUGUGUGGUUAAUCUGAAGGUACAGUGUAAAACAAAACAACAACAAGAGAUUACUUGCCUUUUUAAGAGUCACAAAUAAAAGAUUUUAUUAUUCUCUCACAUGUA